RNAcentral lists this ribosomal RNA (317 nucleotides) under uncultured beta proteobacterium. RNAcentral's name for it is "bacterial SSU rRNA". It matches the Rfam family "Bacterial small subunit ribosomal RNA", at positions 8 to 332 of the family's 1533-position model. Lineage: Bacteria; Pseudomonadati; Pseudomonadota; Betaproteobacteria. The record is from RNAcentral.
AGAGUUUGAUCCUGGCUCAGAUUGAACGCUGGCGGUAUGCUUUACACAUGCAAGUCGAACGGGCUUGGGGGCUUGCUCCCGGGUUAGUGGCGAACGGGUGAGUAAUAUAUCGGAACAUAUCCGGAAGUGGGGGAUAACGUAGCGAAAGUUACGCUAAUACCGCAUAUGCCCUGAGGGGGAAAGGGGGGGAUCGCAAGACCUCUCGCUUUCGGAGUGGCCGAUACCGGAUUAGCUAGAUGGUGAGGUAAAGGCUCACCAUGGCGACGAUCCGUAGCGGGUCUGAGAGGACGACCCGCCACACUGAACUGAGACACGCC